This 226-nucleotide ribosomal RNA is filed under the name uncultured bacterium. Its description in RNAcentral is "partial 16S ribosomal RNA". It matches the Rfam family "Bacterial small subunit ribosomal RNA", at positions 355 to 595 of the family's 1533-position model. The record is from RNAcentral.
UGGGGAAUAUUGGGCAAUGGGGGCAACCCUGACCCAGCGACGCCGCGUGGGGGAAGACGGCCUUCGGGUUGUAAACCUCUUUUGUACGGGAAGAAGGAAGUGACGGUACUGUACGAAUAAGUCCCGGCUAACUACGUGCCAGCAGCCGCGGUAAUACGUAGGGGACGAGCGUUGUCCGGAAUUACUGGGCGUAAAGGGCGCGCAGGCUGUGCUGCAAGUCAGCUGU